GAUGAACGCUGGCGGCGUGCCUAAUACAUGCAAGUCGAGCGAACAGACGAGGAGCUUGCUCCUUUGACGUUAGCGGCGGACGGGUGAGUAACACGUAGGUAACCUACCUAUAAGACUGGGAUAACUUCGGGAAACCGGAGCUAACACCGGAUAAUAUUUCGAACCGCAUGGUUCGAUAGUGAAAGAUGGCUUUGCUAUCACUUAUAGAUGGACCUGCGCCGUAUUAGCUAGUUGGUAAGGUAACGGCUUACCAAGGCAACGAUACGUAGCCGACCUGAGAGGGUGAUCGGCCACACUGGAACUGAGACACGGUCCAGACUCCUACGGGAGGCAGCAGUAGGGAAUCUUCCGCAAUGGGCGAAAGCCUGACGGAGCAACGCCGCGUGAGUGAUGAAGGUCUUCGGAUCGUAAAACUCUGUUAUUAGGGAAGAACAGACGUGUAAGUAACUGUGCACGUCUUGACGGUACCUAAUCAGAAAGCCACGGCUAACUACGUG
RNAcentral lists this ribosomal RNA (497 nucleotides) under uncultured bacterium. RNAcentral describes it as "partial 16S ribosomal RNA". It matches the Rfam family "Bacterial small subunit ribosomal RNA", at positions 28 to 507 of the family's 1533-position model. The record is from RNAcentral.